GGAAUCUUCCACAAUGGGCGAAAGCCUGAUGGAGCAACGCCGCGUGUGUGAUGAAGGGUUUCGGCUCGUAAAGCACUGUUGUAAGAGAAGAAUGACAUUGAGAGUAACUGUUCAAUGUGUGACGGUAUCUUACCAGAAAGGAACGGCUAAAUACGUGCCAG
This 161-nucleotide ribosomal RNA is filed under the name uncultured bacterium. RNAcentral describes it as "partial 16S rRNA". It matches the Rfam family "Bacterial small subunit ribosomal RNA", at positions 358 to 511 of the family's 1533-position model. The record is from RNAcentral.